AGUGAACGCUGGCGGUAGGCCUAACACAUGCAAGUCGAACGGCAGCACAGUAAGAGCUUGCUCUUACGGGUGGCGAGUGGCGGACGGGUGAGAAAUACAUCGGAAUCUACUUUUUCGUGGGGGAUAACGUAGGGAAACUUACGCUAAUACCGCAUACGACCUACGGGUGAAAGCAGUGGAUCUUCGGACCUUGCGCGAUUGAAUUAGCCGAUGUCGGAUUAGCUAGUUGGCGUGGUAAAGGCCCACCAAGGCGACGAUGCGUAGCUGGUCUGAGAGGAUGAUCAGCCACACUGGAACUGAGACACGGUCCAGACUCCUACGGGAGGCAGCAGUAGGGAAUAUUGGACAAUGGGCGCAAGCCUGAUCCAGCCAUGCCGCGUGGGUGAAGAAGGCCUUCGGGUUGUAAAGCCCUUUUGUUGGGAAAGAAAAGCAGCAGGUUAAUACCCCGCUGUUCUGACGGUACCCAAAGAAUAAGCACCGGCUAACUUCGUG
RNAcentral lists this ribosomal RNA (492 nucleotides) under uncultured bacterium. RNAcentral describes it as "partial 16S ribosomal RNA". It matches the Rfam family "Bacterial small subunit ribosomal RNA", at positions 29 to 507 of the family's 1533-position model. The record is from RNAcentral.